This 375-nucleotide long non-coding RNA is filed under the name Gadus morhua (Atlantic cod). Its description in RNAcentral is "lncRNA (ENSGMOG00000029382.1)". The record is from RNAcentral. Lineage: Eukaryota; Metazoa; Chordata; Actinopteri; Gadiformes; Gadidae.
CCCAUGAAGCCGCUUCUUCAGAUGCUGCGACACUAAUCUAAGCUUCCUUCCUGGCCUGCUCUGUCCUUCAGCGGCUAAUCCUGUUAGCAGGAGCCAGUGCGUUAUAAUCCUCCCACAUCGCCCCGAUCCUUCGUGGCUCAUAGUCUCGCAGCCUCUGUGAUGCUGGACCCCUACUGAAGCCCACAGGAUGUUAAGCUGGGUGGGUAAAGUGGUUCCCCAGCCCCCAGAGGCCUGCGAGGAGAAACCAGAAGCACGGCCUUCUGCAGCUGAGAAGAAGGUGACAUUCAAGGAAGAAAGCAAAAAAGGUUCAGAAAUAAUAUAUAUUUAAUCUUUUCUCCCCGCAUAUGGCAGACUAGGGAAAAUAACUCAAAUAAA